AACGUGAUAUCACGAUAACGAUAUUGAGUCGAUAUAUCAUGCACCCCUACUCCCCGGCGUGAGAUUAGCCUUGAGUCUUUGCCAUAACCUGGCCAAAACCUUUGAGUAGGGAACCGCCAUCGCGCAUAUUUCAUUUUCUUUCAACACCAGCCACUCAUCUGCUGUCACCGACCAUUUGAUGAAGAGCAAAGAUGGUUAUUUUUUGGGGCAUUUUAGGCCUUUAUUUCACAGGACAGCUGAAGAUGUGAAAGUGGAGAGAGAGGGGGACUGACAUGCAACAAAUGGCCUUUAUACAUGGGGUGCAAGCUGAACCAGAAGUGUCAUGCAGCUGUGGUAAUACGAAGGCACCUGCCCUGAAUAAGAUGACGUCUGUGGCCUCAGUGAGUCAUCCAGACCCUAAAGAGCUUUGUGAAAACUAAAGUGGGCUGAAUGACUGUAGCCUUCUCCCCAACCCCCACCCCCCACCCCACAAAGCUCGGGAUGAGGCAGCUCCAAUCAUCCAGCUGAACAACAUUCACAGAAUGAGUUGUAUUAAACUGCAGGACAAGACACUGCAACUCUUUUGUAUGAUUCUAGUGCUUUGACUUUCAAGUGUGAUUACCUGGACGUAAUAUAUAAUACAGCUCUUGACAAGGCGAUGACUUUAAUCAAGCUUCAAAGGGAAUAGAAUCAUGUGACAGACACACACACACACACACACACACACACUGAUCCUAUUUUUUUCUUGUUCUUAAAAACACAGACAUGCGUGAGUCAGCCAGAAGGCUUUGCUCAGAAGUUUUACAUAUUGACAGCGUGCUUACACGCUAAACUAAGAUGGGGACCAUGGAAUACAUUACCUACUAACACUACUACUACUACAUCUGCAUGUUAGCAUUGUCAUUGUGAAGUUAUUAGCAUGCUAAACGUUAGCAUUUAGAGUACAGCCUCACAGAGCUGUUAGAGCUCCCAAUCACAAGGCAUGUGCAAAGUAGACUCAGUUGUGGCUCGGUCCUUUCCUGAUCCAAGAUUGAACCAGUUUAUUAUUCAUUUGAGACAAUAAAAUCCCUAAAAUGAUAUUGCAGAAUCCAGAUGCAUUCAAAAGUUACAGCCUACAUCCUAUUUGGAUUUUAAAGGCAUUCAAUUCAUCAGUGUGUAAAAGUCUGGUCACUACAUUACCCUGCUCUGUCAAAACAUGGUUUCAAAGACACAGACCCUUCCUUGAUAUAAAUGCUUCAGUAGUCUGGUGUCUGACUUUUAUUGGAUCGCUCUGUCACUGUGCCACUGUGGUUAUGGGAAAUCGUCUCCUGCUCACAAUUACCCAAUCAUGUUACAGUGGCAGGCGCCAUUCAUUGUUGCCUAUUGUGUGUAGUGGCAGAGAGCUGGUUAUGCCAGACCAGAAUGAUAUUUUAAUCAGAAAUUGUGCCAAUUAUGCCAAUUAUGCUGUAAAGACAGAGACAUCAACGGUCUCGCCACUUCUGAGAUUUUGCUGUAAGCAAAGUGUGGUUGGUAUUCACUGCUGGAGCAUUUGCACAAAACCGGUAGCAGGGAAGCUACCAAAACAGGGAAUCAAACAGAAACAGAGGAUAUGGAUGGGUAGACGUUGCGAAUCUUAAUAUCUGUUUCAUGACCAUUGUUCAAACCCAAACAAUUAAUAACACCUUGAUGCCAACAACUCUCUGAACACUUAAAAGUGUUGACUAGGUGGAGGAACCAAAGCUCUGCGGAACGCUGAUGUUGUGAGGAUGUUUUCCUACACAGAGCAGCUCUUGUUUGACUGCUGUCUCUUUUCAUGCGUGAAAUGAUCAGUCACACCUGUACAGUCACAGUAAAAGUGGUGGCUGUAAAGGUCCUCUGAUCUCAAUAAAAACACCAAACACCUGGGUCUGCUUGGCAACGAGUGUAUGCAUGUGUGCGAGUGAUAGCACAUACACAGAGGAGCACGCACACACACAUUCAGAGGGAAUGAAAAGCUGAAUCUAAAGUCUGAUUGUGUUUCUUGGUGGGAAGGUUUGCACCCACCUUCACUUUGAAGACAGUGAAAACAAAUGUGCAAAUCUCAGCUGUGAACAUAAUCCAUAGACUUUGCUAAGUAAACCUGCAGCCUUUGUCCUUAGACCCAAGUUGAAGAAAACAUGAUAUGAAUUUAUGUUAUGCUUAACGGAGCAAAAGAUAAGCUCUCAUCACAUUCCUUAAAGGAGUAGUUUGACAUUUUGGGAAUUAGGCUUAUUCUCUUUCCUGCCCAGAGUUAACUGAGAGGAUCGAUACCACUUCCUGUAGCCUAGGCUAUGGUAAAUAUAAAGCUGGAGCAAGGUGCUAGUUAGCUUAGCUUAGCAUAGAGACAGCAAAUGGGAAAAUUGUUGUUUUCACACUUCGGUUCUUGUACGUUUUAGAGCUAGGCUAGCUAUUUCCCUGUCCCCAGUCUUUAUGCUAAGCUAAGCUAACCGGCUGCUCACUCCAGCUUUAUGUUUACCACGUGUAUCAGUUUUCUCAUACAUAACUCUUGGAAAGAAAGCGAAUAUUAAACAAGUAUUUGAAUGUCAGACUAUGCAAGACAAGGAAUAUUGAUUGACUUAAUUUUUUCCCUG
Perca fluviatilis (European perch) is the source of this 2567-nucleotide long non-coding RNA. RefSeq lists it as uncharacterized. The record is from RefSeq and is a predicted model, not a curated record. The transcript is spliced from 4 exons. NCBI's taxonomy places the organism in Eukaryota, Metazoa, Chordata, Actinopteri, Perciformes, Percidae.